GGAGGGAGCUGUCGAAGGUGGGACUGGCGAUUGGGACGAAGUCGUAACAAGGUAGCCGUACCGGAAGGUGCGGCUGGAUCACCUCCUUUCUAAGGAGCA
This 99-nucleotide ribosomal RNA is filed under the name Streptomyces caniscabiei. RNAcentral describes it as "partial 16S ribosomal RNA". The stretch from base 1 to 89 matches the Rfam family "Bacterial small subunit ribosomal RNA", at positions 1445 to 1533 of the family's 1533-position model. The record is from RNAcentral. Lineage: Bacteria; Bacillati; Actinomycetota; Actinomycetes; Kitasatosporales; Streptomycetaceae.